Molecule: ribosomal RNA, 542 nt
Filed under: uncultured eukaryote
Lineage: Eukaryota
Description: SSU rRNA
Rfam family: Eukaryotic small subunit ribosomal RNA
Source: RNAcentral
UGUAGUCAUAUGCUUGUCUCAAAGAUUAAGCCAUGCAUGUCUAAGUAUAAGCAAUUAUACAGCGAAACUGCGAAUGGCUCAUUAAAUCAGUUAUCGUUUAUUUGAUAGUACCUUACUACAUGGAUAACCGUGGUAAUUCUAGAGCUAAUACAUGCUAAAAACCCCGACUUCGGAAGGGGUGUAUUUAUUAGAUUAAAAACCAAUGCCCUUCGGGGCUCCCUGGUGAUUCAUAAUAACUUCUCGAAUCGCACGGCCUUGCGCCGGCGAUGGUUCAUUCAAAUUUCUGCCCUAUCAACUUUCGACGGCAGGGUCUUGGCCUGCCAUGGUGACAACGGGUAACGGAGGGUUAGGGCUCGACCCCGGAGAAGGAGCCUGAGAAACGGCUACUACAUCCAAGGAAGGCAGCAGGCGCGCUAAUUACCCAAUCCCGACUCGGGGAGGUAGUGACAAUAAAUACUGAUACAGGGCUCUUUUGGGUCUUGUAAUUGGAAUGAGUACAAUUUAAAUCCCUUAACGAGGAACAAUUGGAGGGCAAGUCUGGU